RNAcentral lists this unclassified non-coding RNA (259 nucleotides) under Hevea brasiliensis (rubber tree). The record is from RNAcentral. Lineage: Eukaryota; Viridiplantae; Streptophyta; Magnoliopsida; Malpighiales; Euphorbiaceae.
GUUAGAGUAAGCAGCAGAUCGGAACUUCUCGAUGCCACCGUUUGGACGGACGUCUUCAAUGCUGUAGCCGAGGGGAACUUCGUAUUGUAUGGAAGAAUUACUACUACUAGACUUCUUCUUGCCACCUUUCGUCUCCAUUACAACAUUCGCACUUCUCUAGAAACACACUACAAAUCUCACAUAUAAUUCUCUGAAUAUUAUCGAAGAAGAUGAUUCUAAUCUCCAGGAAAAGUUAGAGAAGAAAAGGGGCAGAAGUAAG